Molecule: long non-coding RNA, 3242 nt
Organism: Gallus gallus (chicken)
Lineage: Eukaryota; Metazoa; Chordata; Aves; Galliformes; Phasianidae
Source: Ensembl
CAGGUCCCUCACAGGCUGCAGUUAAUAGCAGGAGCCUUAUCCUAUCUGGGCUCCUCUCAGUGGGCUGCAGCUUCCUUCAGGGCAUAUCUGUCUACUCCAGUUUGGUCUUUUCCACAGGCUGAGGGAGAAGUCUUGGAUCUGGGGCCUGAUUCACCUCCUCCCCAUCCUUCUUCAUUGACCUUGGAGCCUGCAGAAUAGCAGCCAAUGGGAAUACAACUUAUAUACAACUCAUACACAACUCAUAUACAGCUCACAGCAUCCAAAGGCAUCAUUCAGUGAGGAAAAAAAAAAAAAAGGUGAAUUAAGGAGAAUGGAAAGGAGGGGGAUUAUGUGUUCCACUGUGAGAGCUGCUUGGUAACAUGUAGGCAAGUAAGCUAUAAAGAUGUUCUCCAAACAGUUUCAUAGAAUGAGCAGAAUAAAUUUGUUUGCUUGUAGAUAUGGUCUCAGGGUGAGCACACUGCAGAAGUCUAAUUAAGAACUGCAAAAGUAUUGACUGGAUACAGGAGAAGUAUUUGCAACAUCUUCUCUGCUUACAAGUGGAAAAUAACAGCCUGUCAUCUCAGCCAUUUGACAAACUAACUGACAACAUCUGAAGCUGACAAAGUGAUAACAUUUUCUGUCUGAAAAUCGUAAAUGUGACCAACAAAGAGAUGGCCUACAGAAUUUUAAUACUAGAGAACUGUCACUCAGCAUUUUAUUUUUUUUAUUUUUGACUACAUGGCUCAUUCCAGCAAUGUUUGAUUAAAAAAAUAAAUUAAUCCCUUAAGAGAUAAAGGAAAAGUAGGUCAGCACCUCAUACAAACAAACCUCAUGAACCUCUAGUAAUAUAUCAGUGAUGAAUUUUCUGUAUAACUGUGGUCCAUAGACAUACUGAAAGAAUAUGCAAGGCAGAUAAGGUAUAUUUUGGUAAGAUUACAGUCCAGCUGAAUCUUUAUGAAGUCCUAAUAAGCUAAUUAUAAUAACUUCAGAUUUCAAAACUGAAACAAGAAUUAUUGUGUACGCUGUGUUAAUAUCAUUAAUAACUCCUCCAGUUCUGUUCUGACAUAGUAUGCCGUACACUGCAAAAAUACAACCUUUACUAAGUACGCAAAGUCUAAGACUGAACUCAUUUUGUACCCCAAAUAGGUUCCUUCUGUAGUACACACUGAAAAACCAAUAGAUUCACUCAAUACUCUGAAGUAUUUUAAUAGGAUAUUGUUGUUUGAUGUUGAUACUAGUACUGCACUACAUUUUCUGCUUUGCUAUUACAAAUCUGUUGGUUUUUUCCUUCCUUUCUAGACUUAGUUGAAUAUUUGAAACAUAAUGCACGUGAGUAAGAAGCAGAAAAUAAAUCAAGGUUUAGAAAUGAAUACACUAUUAAUUCAGAGUUUUGUGGUCUCUUUUCUGGAACAGCUGUCACAUAUAGGGGUUGUCAGUCAUUUUCAAAACAUUACAAAGUCUUUUGAAUUUCAGUCACAAAUAACCACAUUGUGAUUUACUUACUGAUUUUAAGUACCUUAGUCCUCCACAACUAUGUGAAUCCUUGUUGUGGAUUAACCUGGCAGGCAGCAAAGAAUCAAAGAACCACACAGCCAUCAGCUCACUUCACUCCGUGUGGAGUAAGGGAGAGAAUAAAAAAACAAAACAGAACACAUAGGCUAAGAUAAAAGCUAUUUACUAAGACAAGAAAGGAAAAUAGAAACAAAAAUGUAAUGGAAACAAUGUAAAUAUGCAUUUGCAAUAAAAUUACCUGCCAACAAACACUAAGCUAACAACAUACCAACUGAUGUUCUGCUAGCAAUGCAACAGCUCACCACCACUAGCUGCCACCAAACCAGCCCCUAAGCAACAGUUUACACAGCUGUAUGAUCUUCCACAUUAGGUCACAUAGAAAGGAAUAAUUCCUUGCCUAAUUCAGGCCAGCUGUCUUGACUCUAUCCUUACCACAGCAUCAUAAUGGUGGUGGCCCUUCACUGUCAAGUGACCCACCCCCAAGCACACUCCAUCACUUAAUAGCAACUAAAACAUCUGUGUACUAUUAACACCAUCUCAGCUGGAUCCUAUGUACUUUGAUUUAGUGUACUUUGGCCUUCCAAAGUUCACUAAAGUUGUAUAUAUAAUGGUGGUAUGCUCUGAAAGCAGACAUCUUUAUUUCUAUAAUUGGUUAUUACAGCACUUAAUAGCAAAACACACAUAUUUGAAAACUUUACUGACCAGAGUUUAAACAUGUCCCAUUUUAAUCAUUUGAUGAAUCCUGAUGGGUUUCUGUUACAGUACAGAAAAAUUAAAUGUGGAAAAAAAUACUCCUUUCAACAGCUUGCAUGAAUGUAAGGAGAAACCAUGAUCAGGAACACUGUUCUGAUAGUUUUCUGUGUUGGUUUUAUUUUAGUUAAAGCUAUUGAUAAAUGAUUAAAUAUGAGCUUACCAGAAGACAGAAUUGCUCUGAUACCUCCAGAAACUCUUAAAUGUUAUGCUUUCCUGUAGAAGUGGGCUAAAAUGGUAUCUGCCAUGGUUUUAAUAAUGGCACGUGCACAUUGUAAGUUAUCUAUCAGUUUACUUCGAAUAUCUAUUGUGAGAAAGUGUAUCUUUUUCUGAUAUCUUUCCAUACUUCUUUUUCUCCAAAAUUAAUUAGCUCAGUAAUGAUCCAGUAGCUGUCAAAAGAACCUGACUUUUUAGAAGGUGUGUUCUCUUCAGUAUCAACACAGAUAGGAUCUGAGGUGUCUCUGGCCCUUACCCUUUUUCCCCUACCACCCCCAUAGUUAUAACAAAUAACAGAAAGGAUAUACCAAAUUACUACAGAAAGGCCACUCCACAUUUGUUAGAUCUUAGACAUGCUUUACUGUAUUAGAUGCUAUAAUUACCAACUCUGAAACAGAUCAUUGUAAUGAAAGAGCUAAUGAGAAGCUGUUGUUGAGCAGUGUAUCUGACAGAGAUAAUUUAUGUAUUUAUGGGAGAAAUCUAAAUCAUUCUGAAAUAAAUAGAAAUCUUCUUUGAGUUAUAUUUGGAAAAUAUUUUUAUAAAACUUAUUGACAGACAAAUAGUGUUCAAGCAGAAAUAAACCAGUAACAACUAACAUCAUUUUGGUGACUUGGUGUGAAUAGGUCAGUGUCUUGAUGGAAGUAGUUUUUGACCUUGCAGUCUUAUUUCUUCUGUUCACUCACUCAAGACUUGUAUUUUAAUGGAACAUGACAAAGAUUUUUAAGUUUUAAAAUAAUAAUCUACUGAAAUUUGGCUUCAUUUUCAUUCUACAUUUGGUUUAGGAC